GUGCCAGCAGCCGCGGUAAUACAGAGGGUGCGAGCGUUGUCCGGAAUCACUGGGCGUAAAGGGCGCGUAGGUGGCUUGGUAAGCGUGUGGUGAAAGUCCGGGGCUCAACCCCGGAUCUGCCAUGCGAACUGCCGAGCUCGAGCAUUGUAGAGGCAGGUGGAAUUUCGGGUGUAGCGGUGGAAUGCGUAGAUAUCCGAAAGAACACCGGUGGCGAAGGCGGCCUGCUGGGCAAUUGCUGACACUGAGGCGCGACAGCGUGGGGAGCAAACAGGAUUAGAAACCCCUGUAGUCC
Molecule: ribosomal RNA, 292 nt
Filed under: uncultured bacterium
Lineage: Bacteria
Description: partial 16S ribosomal RNA
Rfam family: Bacterial small subunit ribosomal RNA
Source: RNAcentral